This 237-nucleotide ribosomal RNA is filed under the name uncultured bacterium. Its description in RNAcentral is "partial 16S ribosomal RNA". It matches the Rfam family "Bacterial small subunit ribosomal RNA", at positions 113 to 334 of the family's 1533-position model. The record is from RNAcentral.
CAACGUGGGUAAUCUGCCCCAAAGACCGGGAUAACCUACCGAAAGGUAAGCUAAUACCGGAUAAGCCUACGGAGUCCUCGGACUCUGAAGGAAAAGGUGGCCUCUGUAUACAAGCUAUCACUUUGGGAUGAGCCCGCGGCCCAUCAGCUCGUUGGCGGGGUAACGGCCCACCAAGGCAACGACGGGUAGCUGGUCUGAGAGGACGAUCAGCCACACUGGAACUGAGACACGGUCCAG